GCGUAGCAAUACGUCAGUGGCAGACGGGUGAGUAACACGUGGGAACGUACCUCUUGGUUCGGAACAACACAGGGAAACUUGUGCUAAUACCGGAUAAGCCCUUACGGGGAAAGAUUUAUCGCCGAGAGAUCGGCCCGCGUCUGAUUAGCUAGUUGGUGAGGUAACGGCUCACCAAGGCGACGAUCCGUGGCUGGUCUGAGAGGACGGUCAGCCACACUGGGACUGAGACACGGCCCAGACUCC
RNAcentral lists this ribosomal RNA (243 nucleotides) under uncultured bacterium. RNAcentral's name for it is "partial 16S ribosomal RNA". It matches the Rfam family "Bacterial small subunit ribosomal RNA", at positions 74 to 339 of the family's 1533-position model. The record is from RNAcentral.